Podarcis lilfordi (Lilford's wall lizard) is the source of this 69-nucleotide non-coding RNA. NCBI's taxonomy places the organism in Eukaryota, Metazoa, Chordata, Lepidosauria, Squamata, Lacertidae. The record is from the annotation of a GenBank genome assembly.
GUUGUGGCUGAAUGGUUGAGCCCAUGUUUUGCAUGCAGAAGGUCCUAGGUUCAAUCCCUGGCAUCUCCA